Molecule: ribosomal RNA, 388 nt
Filed under: uncultured Soehngenia sp.
Lineage: Bacteria; Bacillati; Bacillota; Tissierellia; Tissierellales; Tissierellaceae
Description: bacterial SSU rRNA
Rfam family: Bacterial small subunit ribosomal RNA
Source: RNAcentral
UUGCACAAUGGAGGAAACUCUGAUGCAGCGACGCCGCGUGAGUGAAGAAGGCCUUCGGGUCGUAAAGCUCUGUCCUAGGGGAAGAUAAUGACGGUACCCUAGGAGGAAGCCCCGGCUAACUACGUGCCAGCAGCCGCGGUAAUACGUAGGGGGCGAGCGUUGUCCGUAAUUACUGGGCGUAAAGAGUUCGUAGGCGGUCUGAUAAGUCAGAUGUGAAAGGCGUAGGCUUAACCUAUGUAAGCAUAUGAAACUGUCAGACGUGAGGUAAGGAGAGGAAAGUGGAAUUCCUAGUGUAGCGGUGAAAUGCGUAGAUAUUAGGAGGAAUACCAGUGGCGAAGGCGACUUUCUGGACUUAAACUGACGCUGAGGAACGAAAGCGUGGGGAGCA